This 221-nucleotide long non-coding RNA is filed under the name Mytilus galloprovincialis (Mediterranean mussel). Lineage: Eukaryota; Metazoa; Mollusca; Bivalvia; Mytilida; Mytilidae. The record is from RNAcentral.
AAAAAGUAAAAUCACAAAAAUACUGAACUCAGAGGAAAAUCAAUACGGAAAGUCCAUAAUCACAUGGCAAAAUCAAACAACAAAACGCAUCAAAAACGAAUAGACAAGAACUGUCAUAUUCCUGACUUGGUACAGGCAUUUUCAAAUGUAGAAAAUGGUGGAUUAAACCUGGUUCUAUAGCGCUAACCCUCUCUCUUUAAUAACAGUCUCAUCAAAUUCCG